Molecule: ribosomal RNA, 222 nt
Filed under: uncultured bacterium
Lineage: Bacteria
Description: partial 16S ribosomal RNA
Rfam family: Bacterial small subunit ribosomal RNA
Source: RNAcentral
ACGCUCGACACCUACGGAGGCAGCAGUAGGGAAUCUUCCACAAUGGGCGCAAGCCUGAUGGAGCAACACCGCGUGAGUGAAGAAGGGUUUCGGCUCGUAAAGCUCUGUUGUUGGAGAAGAACGUGCGUGAGAGUAACUGUUCACGCAGUGACGGUAUCCAACCAGAAAGUCACGGCUAACUACGUGUCAGCAGCCGCGGUAAUCUGAGCGGGCUGGCAAGGC